RNAcentral lists this ribosomal RNA (492 nucleotides) under uncultured bacterium. RNAcentral's name for it is "partial 16S ribosomal RNA". It matches the Rfam family "Bacterial small subunit ribosomal RNA", at positions 29 to 507 of the family's 1533-position model. The record is from RNAcentral.
AGUGAACGCUGGCGGUAGGCCUAACACAUGCAAGUCGAACGGCAGCACAGUAAGAGCUUGCUCUUAAGGGUGGCGAGUGGCGGACGGGUGAGGAAUACAUCGGCAUCUACUUUUUCGUGGGGGAUAACGUAGGGAAACUUACGCUAAUACCGCAUACGAUCUACGGGUGAAAGCAGGGGAUCUUCGGACCUUGCGCGAUUGAAUGAGCCGAUGUCGGAUUAGCUAGUUGGCGGGGUAAAGGCCCACCAAGGCGACGAUCCGUAGCUGGUCUGAGAGGAUGAUCAGCCACACUGGAACUGAGACACGGUCCAGACUCCUACGGGAGGCAGCAGUGGGGAAUAUUGGACAAUGGGCGCAAGCCUGAUCCAGCCAUACCGCGUGAGUGAAGAAGGCCUUCGGGUUGUAAAGCCCUUUUGUUGGGAAAGAAAAGCAGCAGGUUAAUACCCCGCUGUUCUGACGGUACCCAAAGAAUAAGCACCGGCUAACUUCGUG